Molecule: ribosomal RNA, 600 nt
Filed under: uncultured bacterium
Lineage: Bacteria
Description: bacterial SSU rRNA
Rfam family: Bacterial small subunit ribosomal RNA
Source: RNAcentral
CAUGCAGUCGAGCGACAGUGGUUUUCGGAUCAUAUGGAGCGGCGAACGGGUGAGUAACACGUGGGCAACCUGCCCUCAGCUCUGGGAUAACUCCGGGAAACCGGGGCUAAUACCGGAUAUGACCUUUCAUCUCAUGGUGUUUGGUGGAAAGUUUUUCGGCUGAGGAUGGGCCCGCGGCCUAUCAGCUUGUUGGUGGGGUAAUGGCCUACCAAGGCGACGACGGGUAGCCGGCCUGAGAGGGCGACCGGCCACACUGGGACUGAGACACGGCCCAGACUCCUACGGGAGGCAGCAGUGGGGAAUAUUGCGCAAUGGGCGAAAGCCUGACGCAGCGACGCCGCGUGAGGGAUGAAGGCCUUCGGGUUGUAAACCUCUUUCAGCAGGGACGAAGCGAAAGUGACGGUACCUGCAGAAGAAGCACCGGCCAACUACGUGCCAGCAGCCGCGGUAAUACGUAGGGUGCAAGCGUUGUCCGGAAUUAUUGGGCGUAAAGAGCUCGUAGGCGGUUUGUCGCGUCGGCUGUGAAAUCUCGGGGCUCAACCCCGAGCCUGCAGUCGAUACGGGCAGACUAGAGUGCUGUAGGGGAGACUGGAAUUCCUG